Long non-coding RNA from Cyprinus carpio (common carp), 287 nucleotides. RefSeq lists it as uncharacterized. The record is from RefSeq and is a predicted model, not a curated record. The transcript is spliced from 3 exons. Lineage: Eukaryota; Metazoa; Chordata; Actinopteri; Cypriniformes; Cyprinidae.
GGGAUAUGUUACUCCCCCUAGACACCCAGGAAGAUUGGCGUUGCUUGACAACAGUUUUGAGGCAGGAUAAAGAGCUCCAGGAACGAUUUCUUCGGUUUUUGGCAAUCAAAUGUGGGAGGGACCUAUAAGACAACCGUCUGGCGGAUGCUUCAAAGUACCUUCUCUAAUCACCUUUCCAUCAAUACAACCUGGACUGGAGUUGGGGAUAAAGCAUGUUUUAGAGACAUGUUCCUGAAGACCAUUGUUCAAAAUCUGUAUUUUCUACAGGAGCCAUCAAAAUCGGAAGA